UGCCCCUUUUUUAGGUACUACGGAAAUAAAUGCAAUUAGACCAUUUGUCAUCAAGAAGAACAAGUACAUAACAGCAGAAGAGAACAGACCUGCAGCUGGUGUGGCCACAUUAGCAGGAGACUCAGAGAAGCCUUUAAGGUUGACUUGAGCAAGUUCCAAGGGCCAGCAACUGAAGGUGAACGCUGAUUCUUUCCUGGCUUCUUCGCAUUUUUUGGAAUUGAAAUGGAUUAAAUACCAUGAGUAAUUUGGAAGUUCUCUGGAGGCAAGUGAACAUCAGAGAUGCCUUGUUCCACCUGGGCUGCACAUGGGACUGGCGCUCACUCCUCCAGGUGGAUCCACAUUCAUCCAACGUGUGUAAUAACAACAACCAGCUUUGCCCCAGGAGGCCAGCUCUGCGUCUUUCUC
Long non-coding RNA from Myotis davidii, 405 nucleotides. RefSeq lists it as uncharacterized. The record is from RefSeq and is a predicted model, not a curated record. The transcript is spliced from 3 exons. Lineage: Eukaryota; Metazoa; Chordata; Mammalia; Chiroptera; Vespertilionidae.